AUACGUAGGAUGCAAGCGUUAUCCGGAUUUAUUGGGUUUAAAGGGUGCGCAGGCGGCCAUUUAAGUCAGCGGUUAAAUCUUGGGGCUCAACCCCAUUCUGCCGUUGAUACUGGGUGGCUUGAUUGCGGUCGAGGUUGGCGGAAUUCGUUGUGUAGCGGUGAAAUGCAUAGAUAUGACGAAGAACACCGAUUGCGUAGGCAGCUGACCAGACCGCAAAUGACGCUCAUGCACGAAAGUGCGGGGAUCGAACAGGAUUAGAUACCCUGGUAGUCCGCACAGUAAACGAUGAAUACUUGUUUUCGGCGAUAUAAUGUCGGAGGCAAAGCGAAAGCGAUAAGUAUUCCACCUGGGGAGUACGCCGGCAACGGUGAAACUCAAAUGAAUUGACGGGG
This 392-nucleotide ribosomal RNA is filed under the name uncultured bacterium. RNAcentral describes it as "partial 16S ribosomal RNA". It matches the Rfam family "Bacterial small subunit ribosomal RNA", at positions 523 to 918 of the family's 1533-position model. The record is from RNAcentral.